AUGUGUUGGUGAGGAGCAUUGUAGAUUGGUAGGGGCCUCACAAAUCACAAUAUAUAUAUUCAUGCUUCUUCAUUAUAAGGUCUACAUAAAGUCUCCUGGACAGAUUUUCUAUUCCAGCUUGCAUGUGGAUCCGCACGUGCAAUUCAAGUCAAUACACGUGUGAUCCUUUUCAUAUUUGGUCUCCAAUUAAUCAUUUCUUUAUUUUUAGCUAAAAAGUUUCAUAAUGGAGUCUCUAAAGUUGAUCAACUUAAUUGAGCAAUAAUAUCUUUGGAGUUUUGUUUGUCGAUCAAGAAAGAGGAGAAAGAGAGAUUCUUCGGCUUUCUAAUUCAGACGUGGUUAAGAAACAAAUCUGUAUAUAUACCUGUACUACUUUUUUUCUUUUCACAAUUUUGACUUUAUGUAUUAAAGUUAUUGUGAUAUAUUUUAAAUAUUAUUUAUACUGUCGUUCAAAAUACGUACACAAAAAUUUUAUUUUAUUGAUAUAAUUUUAUCUUCAGUGAAGUUAUAUUUAAGUUAAC
Molecule: long non-coding RNA, 518 nt
Filed under: Panax ginseng (ginseng)
Lineage: Eukaryota; Viridiplantae; Streptophyta; Magnoliopsida; Apiales; Araliaceae
Description: long non-coding RNA (PGIN_LNC018511)
Source: RNAcentral